This 253-nucleotide ribosomal RNA is filed under the name uncultured prokaryote. RNAcentral describes it as "partial 16S ribosomal RNA". It matches the Rfam family "Bacterial small subunit ribosomal RNA", at positions 525 to 777 of the family's 1533-position model. The record is from RNAcentral.
ACGAAGGGUGCUAGCGUUGUUCGGAAUCACUGGGCGUAAAGCGCGCGUAGGCGGCGAUUCAAGUCAGGGGUGAAAUCCUGGGGCUCAACCUCAGAAUUGCCUCUGAAACUGUAUUGCUAGAGUGUCGGAGGGGAUAGCGGAAUUGCUAAUGUAGAGGUGAAAUUCGUAGAUAUUAGCAGGAACACCGGUGGCGAAGGUGGCUAUCUGGACGACAACUGACGCUGAGGUGCGAAAGCGUGGGGAGCAAACAGGA